CCAAAACUCUCAAGCUCAAGCCCGUAUCCUGAUCCAUUAUCCAUUUUCCCCAAAAUUCCCAAAUUGAAAUCCAUUUUUCCCAAACGCUUCGUCGCUUCCGUCUGACCGUCUUUCUAGCUCGACUUCUCCUACUUCCGCUUCCAGACUCCAAAGUUCCAGACUUUCAGUUCCAGUAUUCUAGAAUCCCAUAUUUUCUCGCUUGGUUAGUUGGCUACUUAGCUUCGCAGUUCGCUAAAGCCUCGAGUCUGUCUCUCGCCCGCGCACACUCACAUAGAGAGCGAAGGCUAGGCAUAUUUUGGCAAUCAUAGAAAUUCGGGUUGGUUGAACCAUUUAGAGAGAGAAGUGUAUUAAGGCUCAAAUUGCAGUGGAAAAUGGAAGUUUCUAUGAUUCUUGGUUCGGAGAAUGCUGUAACAGCCAGAGGUAGUUCUUGAUUCCAAACUUCCAAUUUGUAAUUAUUAUUUUUUUGGCCAAUUUAAUUUUUUACUAAUAGCAAAAUUAUGAACUUUUUGAAUAUGUAUGUGAACGCUGACUGAUAAGUAAUACCUAACAUAAACAGAGAUCAAGAAAAUUUAGAGGAUUCACAUUAGAUUUGGAACUACGAGGCUUUUUCAGCUAAUUUCACUUUUAGGUACCCGAAGUUAAGCAAAUUAUUUUCACUUUGUCCUUGCAUCAAGGAAAAAGGAACGAAAAGAAAAAAACAAAGUCUAGAGGUCGGUUUUGGAAUUGAAACCUGUUUUCAUAGGCCAAGAAAUCGAGUCUCUUGAGGGAUUUUUGGCACUUGGAUGGGUAUUUGCCUCAUCAACCAAAUCAAGGCGGAGAGUCCAUUUAAUACUAGAACAGGUAUAUUCUCAAAACACAAUUACUUUCUUUAUGUAGAGUGAAAGAGAGAGAACAGUGAAAUUAUGUUUACUAGAGAGAUUGAAAUGAUAAAUUCAAAUUUUGUGAUCUUUUUGAGUUGUUUUUCUGAAACUAAGAAUUCAUGUCCUUUGCAUUUUCUGGUUUGUCAUAUCAUUUGCCUUCAAAGGUAAUAGGAUACCUGAGACUUCUAAUGCUGCAUAGUAUACUAUUUCUUCAUUGAUUUUAAUUGGUGGCAACUAAUUUCUUCUACACAUUGCAUACUACAUAUAACACGUGAAAAGAAAAUUCUACCACCAGAGGAGGUUUGUGUACUUGAAGAGGAAAUUGUUAUGCUUCGAACUCUGAAAUAUUUAAGGUUCAUUUUGAAGAUAUAAUAUGAAUAACUAUAUUUCUCCCUUUUUUAACAACUCAAAUUUUUGGACGAGUCUGUAGUUUUAAAUUAUACAAUUGUUCUAUGUUUAAUUCAAAACUGUUUCCUACUUAUGAAAAUUCUACUUUUCAACCCUUUGAUGAAAAAGUAAAUCUAGUGCGGGUGUGGUAUGCAAGUGAGGACUGUGAACCCUAUUUUUGAUGUACUUGUAUGCUUUUUGUGAAAUUCACGUGAUACUUGAAAUUGAAAGCCUUGAAUAUAUUGUAAUUGUAGUCUGUAUAAUUUGUAUUACUAUGGCUUUAGGUUUAUAGCGUGUCAUUUAGGCUUAAACAAUUUUUUCACCUUGAAGUGCCUAUUAGGGUUUGAGGCUUUGCGUUUAGCUCUUUGCGAAAUUGGAUAAAAAACUUUCUAAUCUAUUUAAAAUAGAAAUAUUCAAUUUGACCAAAGAAUUGUCUAUGUUGACUUAUAGAUUUCAAUAGUGAACUUGUGAUCUUUUGGUGAUGAUUAGGGCUUUCUCGUUGUGAAUAAAAGAAUUUGGGUCAUUUUCAAAAACCUAGGCCUUCAUUUCAAGGGGAGAAACCACAAUCUAUUUCAAGAACUACUAACGAGUAUAUUGACCAGAUCCAAAAGGUAAUCUAUUCGUAAGUCUUGUAAUCUGCAUGAUCACUGUAUUUGUUGGUGUGUAUGAUUUUUCUAAAUUGCAACUUCGCUUUAGUAGCACGUGGCUUUAGUAACAAUGCUGGCACAAAAAACAUGAACUGAUGAUUAAAAAUCAGAGUUGGGCUAAAGUGAAUGUUAGAAUUUUGAUUCCUAAUGCUAUCUUCUAUCAUGUGUAAGUGUAAAAUAGUUUAUAUUUAAUUUGAAUAACUUUGUUUGAUAGAAUGAUAGGUAAAAUGUGUAAUUGUUAUUUCCCUAAGCUUAAUGAUCAUGUUCAUAUUUGUAUUAGCGUUUGAUUUGAUGAUCAUGUUCAUAUUUGUAAUUUUUUAUUAGCGUUUGAUGUGAAAUUUUUGUUUCAGGGUCGUGAGUUGUAAAUCUUAUGACAGUGGAAUUCUCGAAGGUGUAACUCCACAGUUUUCGUAGAAAUUCUACUUCUCAAGUAAAUAAUGGCUUGUCCUAACUUGUUAUUGAAGAGAUUGGAAAUGUUUGAAGCCUUGUCGACUUAUAUAAUUGUAGUCUGAUCGGCUUAUAUGAUUGCUUACUGUACAAUGAACAAUUACAUAGGUGCACGUAGUAACUAUAUUCGAAACUAUAAUUGUGAGAUGAUUGAGAUAUUGUGUAAUUGUUUUUUAGGUUAAUCAUUGGAUAUUAGAUAUACACUUCUA
RNAcentral lists this long non-coding RNA (2550 nucleotides) under Olea europaea subsp. europaea. The record is from RNAcentral. Lineage: Eukaryota; Viridiplantae; Streptophyta; Magnoliopsida; Lamiales; Oleaceae.